This 442-nucleotide ribosomal RNA is filed under the name uncultured bacterium. RNAcentral describes it as "partial 16S ribosomal RNA". It matches the Rfam family "Bacterial small subunit ribosomal RNA", at positions 338 to 795 of the family's 1533-position model. The record is from RNAcentral.
CCUACGGGAGGCUGCAGUGGGGAAUAUUGGGCAAUGGGCGCAAGCCUGACCCAGCAACGCCGCGUGAAGGAAGAAGGCUUUCGGGUUGUAAACUUCUUUUAAGAGGGAAGAGCAGAAGACGGUACCCCUUGAAUAAGCCACGGCUAACUACGUGCCAGCAGCCGCGGUAAUACGUAGGUGGCAAGCGUUGUCCGGAUUUACUGGGUGUAAAGGGCGUGCAGCCGGAGAGACAAGUCAGAUGUGAAAUCCACGGGCUCAACCCGUGAACUGCAUUUGAAACUGUUUCCCUUGAGUGUCGGAGAGGUAAUCGGAAUUCCUAGUGUAGCGGUGAAAUGCGUAGAUAGUAGGAAGAACACCAGUGGCGAAGGCGGAUUACUGGACGAUAACUGACGGUGAGGCGCGAAAGCGUGGGGAGCAAACAGGAUUAGAUACCCUAGUAGUC